AUACCUUUCUCGACCUUUUGGCUAAGAUCAAGUGUAGUAUCUGUUCUUAUCAAUUUAAUAUCUGAUAUGUGGACUAUGUGUUCACUUUGAUAUUAAAUUUAUUUUUUGUGGGGGAGAGUCCACCACCGUGGCUUGCCACUGGGCCCCUUGAGCGUCGCUCGGACUGGGCCCCUUGAGCGUCGCUCGGCCGUUGCACUACUGGCUGAGCCUGGCGCACCCCAA
RNAcentral lists this small nuclear RNA (222 nucleotides) under Zea mays. Its description in RNAcentral is "U2 spliceosomal RNA". It matches the Rfam family "U2 spliceosomal RNA". Rfam says of the family: U2 is a small nuclear RNA (snRNA) component of the spliceosome (involved in pre-mRNA splicing). The record is from Rfam by way of RNAcentral. Lineage: Eukaryota; Viridiplantae; Streptophyta; Magnoliopsida; Poales; Poaceae.